GGUAUGUGCUGUUGGUUAAAUUCACGAAUUCUUCAAUAUGCAUUGUUAUUUGCUUUCCUUCUCGCAACUCUUACUCAUCUUGCUACGCCAAGAAGUUUAAUUGGUAGAAGGGGACUAUCAAAUCAAGGGAAAAUUUUGGAAUAGAUAUUAUUAUAAAUUGAACGUGCUUCAUAUCAUGCAUUCUUUGGAUGAAUUGUUAUAAAAUGAAAAAUCUGGUGAAUUUCGAAUUAUAAUCUAUCACUACCAUUUGUUGAAACAACCCUGGUGGGGUGAUGGUACAAGG
This 283-nucleotide unclassified non-coding RNA is filed under the name Hevea brasiliensis (rubber tree). Lineage: Eukaryota; Viridiplantae; Streptophyta; Magnoliopsida; Malpighiales; Euphorbiaceae. The record is from RNAcentral.